UUCGAUAUAAUCCGUAUACACAGGUAACUUAAAUAUGAUCGGUUUGACGUGAAGGUAAAAAUGCAUUCUGCAUGAAUGGGGUUUGAGUUUAAUUAAUUACUCGUUGAAAACAAAUGUCGCAGCUAUAAACAGAGUCAUACAGUAAAAGCGAAUUGUUUAGAAGAACCACAAUGUGUCAAAAGGUGGAUUGUAAAAAAUGUGGAAAACCGACAUGGGCAGGGUGUGGUGCGCAUAUUGAACUGGUAUUGCGCAAUGUCCCUGUAGAGGAGCGCUGUAAGUGUAAACGCAAGGGUUCUGGUUGUGCCAUACAGUGAUAACUUCAUCUUCACCCCCGUCAUAGUUUCAAAUGGUAACAGGAAAGCAUGCCAAUCCCAGUGACUAUAGUGCAACAUUCCAUUAUUCAACAAGAACCUGGACUGCCCACAUAAAAAAAACAACAACUAAGUGUCUGUCUUUACUCAUGACUUAAAUUGUGUGUGUAUGUACAUAUAAUUAUAGUGUUUUCAAUAUUUACUUGCUUUAGUUUUGUUUAUUAUAUUAUCUUUUGACUUCAAGUAUUCUGUAGUAAAGUAACGCUUUUGUAAAGCUCCAGCCAUAAUAAUUGCAGAAGGGUAGAUAGUGGAUAUGUAUGCAUGAUUUUUUUUUGCUUCAUAUCUUACAGCCUGUGCCUUUUGGAUUGGGAAAAAUAACGGGAUAAACCAUGUAAUUGGGUACAAUGAAACGUUAUUAAUAUCAUUAUAAAUGACAGUAUUCCGAUUGUUUAUAAGUGCACAUUUAACUGCAUUUUAAAAUUAAUGUUAUUUACAUAAUUAUAUCCCUGUAUAUUAAUGUAAAUAAACCAAUUAUUAAGUUUAUUGGAAAUGUUCUGCUUUUUUAAGGAAAUUUUGGUCAGCUUUAUGGGAAAAAAUGUUACUUUAUAUUGUCAUUGGGAAGCAGCUUGUAAAAGGCUGUAAUUAUGUGCAAAAAAUCACUGUAUGUGCGGUAAUGUUCAUGUGUGGUGCAAAGCUUUUUGGAUAAUUAAGGGAACUAGAAAUAAAAUUGCGCAAAAUAUUAAUUGUUAGCAACAAGUCAAAUACUUAAAUUACCCAACCUGAAGACUUAACAACGUGAGUUUUUUCCAAUUUCAGUUUCUUUUUACUUAUUUUUCCCAGUUGGGCUGGUACCAGUUCUUUUACCAAUUUGGCUAAACAUUCGCUGAAUUACAAUGUUGUUGGCUUUAAAGUAAAGAUCACUGUGAACAUUUUUAGUUUGUGCAUAUAAAGUUUUGCCUGCCCUAAGAUUUAUUCACCGGUAAAUGGAAUUGUUUUGUUUUAGCAUUAAUUGCAUUUAGGCAUUCAUUUCGUUUCAUGUUCAUACCUCAUACAACUGUGCCUUGUUUGCAAAGAUUGGCCGUUCAAUUAUUCCAAGAAAAAGCAUUCAAAUGUUUCCAUUGUAAUGUCAAAGCAUUAAAACAUUUUAGGGGUUUAUUUGUUUCUGUUGAAGAGAAAAAAACUAAACAAAUGCCCCGACGCUGUAAGAUUUUGAUUGAGUUUGCAAAAUUGAUUGAUUUCUCAUAAUUGUGACGUUGAAAGUUGUAUGUAUUAUUUAGUUUUAUUGCAUUUAUUGUUUUGACAUGUUACCAAAUGAGAAUAAUCUGUUAUGCCAUAUUACUUGAAAAUUAAUGAACAUGUGUGUUUUGUUUAUUCCUUGGUAAAUCACCAAUAAACUUAACCCUUUCCCACUCAGAAGCAAAGUGAAAAUACAUGUAGCUAUGUUCAAACAGCAUAAAACCAGAACAGCCUGCAAAUAACUUGCAGUCUGUUCAAAUUUUAUGUUUGCUGCUCAUCAGUAUCAAAGGGUUGGAAAUGAAGCCUUUAAAACAUGAAUAUAGUAUGAAGGGUCUUUAAUUAAAUUUAACUUUCUAAAGGACUACACAUCUGUCAAAAUACGUAUCUAAUGGAUAGAGUUAAGUGAUACAUUUGUAAUUUCAAGUUUGAUGUCUUUAAAAUACAAAUACAGCAUACCAUCGUGUGUUCAUGAUAGCAACCUGCAUGCUAUUAGCCGUUUAAAUAACAAUUGUCAUGUCCAUGUAGUAAUGUGUAAGGUGCACCAUAUAGUGAUAGAAGAAAUAUUUUACUAAACAGGGGAACAUUUUAUUGAUUGUCAAUACAUUAUUAUGCAUGUAUCAACGAAUCUCAUGUCUGAUAUUUAAUAGAGAUUGGGCUUUCUUAUAUGAAACCAUAUGCUGGUUUUGAUGUAAAAAGCUGGGUACAGUAGACCUUAUCUGACAAAGAUAUUCAUUGUUUCCCCUAUAACUUAUUAGCAUGUUUUGUUUGUAUGUUUAGUUGGAUUUCACGUUUUCAUCAGUAUUCAGUCAUAUAAUGGCAGUCAAUUUACUGACUAGCGCUUUUUGGGGGAUAACUUGUUUACCAGUACCAGAACUCUCCCUGACUAAAUACUUUCUGUAGAAAAAUUUACUGUAGUACACAGAAUUUCUUCACAUUUUAUCAGUUUUACUGGAUUUUAUUAUAAAAAGUUUUAGCCAAAUGGAAAUUUAUUGAGCCAAUUUUUAGCUCAGCUGUUUUCAGAGAAAACCCGAGGUAUUGUCACAGCCAGCUUGUCGUCCGCCGUAGGCGUCUUGCUAAAACCUUAACAUUGGCUCUAAAAUCAAAAAGCUUCCACCUACAACUUUGAAACUUCAUAUGUAGAUGCUCCUUGACGAGUUCUACAUGCCACAUCCAUUUUUGGGUCACUAGGUCAAAGGUCAAGGUCACUGUGACCUCUAAAAAAAUAUAAUCUGACAAGCUUUCACAGCCGAGCAUGGCACCCGUUAUGCGGUGCUCUUGUUUUUAAUUUGUAGCCAUUUGCUAAUUUGGCGAAUGGCAGAUCUGGUCCCCCCACAUGGAUGUAUACAAUAUUGCAAAGAUAUGAAAUUGAUAUUAUUAGAGUAUGAACAUUGAGAUUUUAUUGUGGAACUACAUGUAUUUUUUCUGCAUUACAAUUCUAUGUUACACUAAGGACUCCAGUUAUCAAAGCAAAUGGAAGUUGCUUCUGUAAUAUUUUUGUUUGAAUUCUGAGAAUAUAGAAAUAACAUUGUUUAUCAUCAAGCUCAAAAUAUAUGCACAUUUAUUGUGAGGCAUCAUUUAAAAUAUUGUUAAAUAUAGUACGAUUGCUUGAUGGCACAUAAUUUGUAUGUCAGCUAAAUAUAUUACGAUUGUUUAGUAGCACAUAUAUUGUAUGUGAGGUGCCAUUUGUAAAAUUGUUAAACAUAGUGUGAUAGUUUAGAAGCACAUUUCCAGUUCAAACUGUUAUAUGACAUUGUUGUUUGUUCUUUAAAUGAGUGAAUACUGGAAUUAAUGUUUUUCAUUAUCAAAGUAUGUGUUAGCGUUUAUUAAAUGGUUAUGCUUAUAGAAAUAAAAUUUUUAUCAAA
Molecule: long non-coding RNA, 3409 nt
Organism: Dreissena polymorpha
Lineage: Eukaryota; Metazoa; Mollusca; Bivalvia; Myida; Dreissenidae
Exons: 3
Source: RefSeq, a predicted model, not a curated record